UACGUAGGGUGCAAGCGUUGUCCGGAAUUAUUGGGCGUAAAGAGCUCGUAGGCGGUUCGGCAAGUCGAAUGUGAAAUCUCCACGCUCAACGUGGAGGGGUCAUUCGAUACUGCCGUGACUUGAGUACGGUAGGGGAGUGUGGAAUUCCCGGUGUAGCGGUGAAUGCGCAGAGAUCGGGAGGAACACCCGUAGCGAAGGCGGCACUCUGGGCCGAUACGUGACGCUGAGGAGCGAAAGCGUGGGGAGCGAACAGG
This 254-nucleotide ribosomal RNA is filed under the name uncultured bacterium. RNAcentral's name for it is "partial 16S ribosomal RNA". It matches the Rfam family "Bacterial small subunit ribosomal RNA", at positions 524 to 776 of the family's 1533-position model. The record is from RNAcentral.